RNAcentral lists this ribosomal RNA (408 nucleotides) under uncultured bacterium. RNAcentral's name for it is "partial 16S ribosomal RNA". It matches the Rfam family "Bacterial small subunit ribosomal RNA", at positions 28 to 526 of the family's 1533-position model. The record is from RNAcentral.
GACGAACGCUGGCGGCGUGCUUAACACAUGCAAGUCGAACGAAGUGGCGAACGGGUGAGUAACGCGUAAUCAACCUGCCCUUCAGAGGGGGACAACAGUUGGAAACGACUGCUAAUACCGCAUACUGAGGGAGGGGAUUGCGUCUGAUUUGCUAGUUGGGGGGGUAACGGCCCACCAAGGCGAGGAUCAGUAGCCGGUCUGGGAGGAUGAACGGCCAAAUUGGGACUGGGACCCGGCCCAGACUCCUACGGGAGGCAGCAGUGGGGAAUCUUCCGAAAUGGGGGAAAGUCUGACGGAGCAACGCCGCGUGAGUGAUGACGGGCUUCGGGUUGUAAAGCUCUGUUAAUCGGGACGCGGUACCGGAAGAGAAAGCCACGGCUAACUACGUGCCAGCAGCCGCGGUAAUUC